UUAAACACCGGUGCUCCAGUAAAUGUAAUUUUGGAAGCAUCAACUGCAGCAGAAAAGAAAACCGCUGAUUACAAAUCUCUUCAUGCGCAAGAAAAUGUCUCUUCAUCUCCCAGUCCCUCUGCCAUGGGAAGGCACCACCACUCCCCUAACCCCACCUGGAGCUGCAUGGGUUUCACCUGCUGAGCUCCUCAGGGAGGAAUUACUUCAUUGAGUUUGUGACCUCCAAGCAGUAAAUAGAGGGAGAGAAGAGGACACAUUUCCCUGCCUGAUUCUUCUGAAGAUGGAAUAACGAUGGAUGAGAACUCCUUGUACAGCAAGGAAAGAAGAUUUUGGUGCUUUUCUCUGAAAAAUCUCAUUACAGUUUCAGCUAAAAAGUUUAAAAUGCAUUGUGCAAUUUGUGUUUCUAUAAUGAGAAAUUUAAGAUGAUGAGGCUGAUAAUAUGAAGUUGCAGAGUAUCACAGGAAGAAUGAAGAGGUCCUGGCAUGAAAGGUUUGACACAGAUCCUAUCAGAUUCCCAUUUAUUAAUAAACUAUU
RNAcentral lists this long non-coding RNA (534 nucleotides) under Parus major (Great Tit). RNAcentral describes it as "lncRNA (ENSPMJG00000019990.1)". The record is from RNAcentral. Lineage: Eukaryota; Metazoa; Chordata; Aves; Passeriformes; Paridae.